This 375-nucleotide long non-coding RNA is filed under the name Prunus persica (peach). RNAcentral describes it as "long non-coding RNA (PPER_LNC007397)". Lineage: Eukaryota; Viridiplantae; Streptophyta; Magnoliopsida; Rosales; Rosaceae. The record is from RNAcentral.
UUUUACUUACAACUGUGUGAUGCAGGUCAUGUUCAAGGAAAAAAAAAAAAUCUGCUUAUAAAUAUUUAGAUGAUAAAACAAUUCUAGGGUUCAUAUUUUUGGUUGGUUUAGAAUUUAGAUGCAGGUCAUGUCAUUUUUGGUUGGUUUAGAAUUUAGAUGCAGGUCAUGUCAUUUUUGGUUAGCAUAUCAUGUCAAAUUUCGUGGAAAUUAAAUCAAACAACUAAUCUCUGACACAUCUGGUGCAAGACAAUUCCACAUGCAGCAUGCUGCUGCUGCAAUGCCCUUUCUGCUUUUUACAUCUCACUCUGAAUUCCCUGGUUUUUAAUUUGCAAUUAUCCUUGUUCACUCUCUGCCAUUAUUUCAAGUGGCCUUCAC